Molecule: ribosomal RNA, 254 nt
Filed under: uncultured bacterium
Lineage: Bacteria
Description: partial 16S ribosomal RNA
Rfam family: Bacterial small subunit ribosomal RNA
Source: RNAcentral
UACGGGGGGGGCAAGCGUUGUUCGGAAUUACUGGGCGUAAAGGGCUUGUAGGUGGCCAACUAAGUCAGACGUGAAAUCCCUCGGCUUAACCGGGGAACUGCGUCUGAUACUGGAUGGCUUGAGUGUGGGAGAGGGAUGCGGAAUUCCAGGUGUAGCGGUGAAAUGCGUAGAUAUCUGGAGGAACACCGGUGGCGAAGGCGACUACCUGGCCUGUUUCUUGACGCUGAGGCGCGAAAGCUAGGGGAGCAAACGGG